GAGCAACGCCGCGUGAGUGAAGAAGGGUUUCGGAUCGUAAAGCUCUGUUGUUAGAGAAGAACAAGGAUGAGAGUAACUGUUCAUCCCUUGACGGUAUCUAACCAGAAAGUCACGGCUAACUACGUGCCAGCAGCCGCGGUAAUACGUAGGUGGCAAGCGUUAUCCGGAUUUAUUGGGCGUAAAGCGAGCGCAGGCGGUUUCUUAAGUCUGAUGUGAAAGCCUUCGGCUCAACCGGAGAAGGGCAUUGGAAACCGGGAGACUUGAGUGCAGAAGAGGACAGUGGAAUUCCAUGUGUAGCGGUGGAAUGCGUAGAUAUAUGGAGGAACACCAGUGGCGAAGGCGGCUGUCUGGUCUGUAACUGACGCUGAGGCUCGAAAGCAUGGGUAGCGAACAGGAUUAGAUACCCUGGUAGUCCAUGCCGUAAACGAUGAGUGCUAAGUGUUGGAGGGUUUCCGCCCUUCAGUGCCGCAGCUAACGCAUUAAGCACUCCGCCUGGGGAGUACGACCGCAAGGUUGAAACUCAAAGGAAUUGACGGGGGCCCGCACAAGCGGUGGAGCAUGUGGUUUAAUUCGAAGCU
This 578-nucleotide ribosomal RNA is filed under the name Lentilactobacillus parafarraginis. RNAcentral's name for it is "bacterial SSU rRNA". It matches the Rfam family "Bacterial small subunit ribosomal RNA", at positions 389 to 958 of the family's 1533-position model. The record is from RNAcentral. Lineage: Bacteria; Bacillati; Bacillota; Bacilli; Lactobacillales; Lactobacillaceae.